This 253-nucleotide ribosomal RNA is filed under the name uncultured bacterium. RNAcentral describes it as "partial 16S ribosomal RNA". It matches the Rfam family "Bacterial small subunit ribosomal RNA", at positions 524 to 776 of the family's 1533-position model. The record is from RNAcentral.
GACGAAGGACCCAAGCGUUAUCCGGAUUCAUUGGGCUUAAAGGGUGCGUAGGCGGGUUGAUAAGUCAGAGGUGAAAGCCCAACGCUUAACGUUGGAACUGCCAUUGAUACUGUCGAUCUUGAAUGUGUUUGAUGUGGGCGGAAUAUGACAUGUAGCGGUGAAAUGCUUAGAUAUGGCAUAGAACACCGAUUGCGAAGGCAGCGGACAAAGCCACUAUUGACGCUGAGGCACGAAAGCGUGGGGAUCAAACAGG